GAGUUUGAUCCUGGCUCAGGAUGAACGCUGGCGGCGUGCCUAAUACAUGCAAGUCGAGCGAACAGAUAAGGAGCUUGCUCCUUUGAAGUUAGCGGCGGACGGGUGAGUAACACGUGGGUAACCUACCUAUAAGACUGGGAUAACUUCGGGAAACCGGAGCUAAUACCGGAUAACAUUUAGAACCGCAUGGUUCUAAAGUGAAAGAUGGUUUUGCUAUCACUUAUAGAUGGACCCGCGCCGUAUUAGCUAGUUGGUAAGGUAACGGCUUACCAAGGCGACGAUACGUAGCCGACCUGAGAGGGUGAUCGGCCACACUGGAACUGAGACACGGUCCAGGCUCCUACGGGAGGCAGCAGUAGGGAAUCUUCCGCAAUGGGCGAAAGCCUGACGGAGCAACGCCGCGUGAGUGAUGAAGGGUUUCGGCUCGUAAAACUCUGUUAUUAGGGAAGAACAAAUGUGUAAGUAACUGUGCACAUCUUGACGGUACCUAAUCAGAAAGCCACGGCUAACUACGUGCCAGCAGCCGCGGUAAUACGUAGGUGG
RNAcentral lists this ribosomal RNA (543 nucleotides) under uncultured bacterium. RNAcentral describes it as "bacterial SSU rRNA". It matches the Rfam family "Bacterial small subunit ribosomal RNA", at positions 9 to 534 of the family's 1533-position model. The record is from RNAcentral.